This 467-nucleotide ribosomal RNA is filed under the name uncultured bacterium. RNAcentral's name for it is "bacterial SSU rRNA". It matches the Rfam family "Bacterial small subunit ribosomal RNA", at positions 33 to 507 of the family's 1533-position model. The record is from RNAcentral.
AGGACGACGCUGGCGGCGUGCCUAACACAUGCAAGUCGAGCGAAUGAAGUUCCUUCGGGAACGGAUUUAGCGGCGGACGGGUGAGUAACACGUGGGCAACCUGCCUCAUAGAGGGGAAUAGCCUUCCGAAAAGGGAGAUUAAUACCGCAUAAGAUUGUAGUACCGCAUGGUACAGCAAUUAAAGGAGCAAUCCGCUAUGAGAUGGGCCCGCGGCGCAUUAGCUAGUUGGUGAGGUAACGGCUCACCAAGGCGACGAUGCGUAGCCGACCUGAGAGGGUGAUCGGCCACAUUGGGACUGAGACACGGCCCAGACUCCUACGGGAGGCAGCAGUGGGGAAUAUUGCACAAUGGGGGAAACCCUGAUGCAGCAACGCCGCGUGAGUGAUGACGGCCUUUCGGGUUGUAAAGCUCUGUCUUCAGGGACGAUAAUGACGGUACCUGAGGAGGAAGCCACGGCUAACUACGUG